UGAGGAAUAUUGGUCAAUGGGAGCAAUCCUGAACCAGCAAUGCCGCGUGUGGGAUGACAGGGCUUCGCCUUGUAAACCACUGUCGGACGGGACGAAAGGAGGCCACGGGCCUCUGGGACGGUACCGUCAAAGGAAGGGUCGGCUAACUACGUGCCAGCAGCCGCGGUAAUACGUAGGACCCGAGCGUUGUCCGGAUUUACUGGGUAUAAAGGGUGCGUAGGCGGCCUUGUGCGUCAGAGGUGAAAUAUCC
RNAcentral lists this ribosomal RNA (250 nucleotides) under uncultured bacterium. Its description in RNAcentral is "partial 16S ribosomal RNA". It matches the Rfam family "Bacterial small subunit ribosomal RNA", at positions 355 to 604 of the family's 1533-position model. The record is from RNAcentral.